AUUAGAAACUAACUUAUCUGAAACAAAUUAACUGUAAAUUGACAAAAGACUCAACGAGGAAACAUGGUAUGGAAAAUAGGAAAUACGAUAGAGUUAUUUUUUUGAAGUUAAAUAUUUUCAUGUAUGAUCUGUGUUUUUUCAUUCAUUUAUUUAUUUUAUGUGGGGGAGGUUUGUUUGGUCUAAUUUGUUUAAUUUCAUUUUUUCUUUUUUAUUAUUUCAAAAAUAUUUCGACAUGUGGUGGAUUUAUGCGUUUGUGGAGGUUCGGUGUACUACGCAAGUGCAACUGGAAACUAGGAAGUUUUGUAGUGUUAUUCCAUUUUCAGGUUGUUCUACUAGAAACUGAAGAUCUUUCUAUGGAAGUUGUCAAUGCAUUGUGUGGCAACAAGCUGAGAAAUUGGUAUUGAUUUUGGUCCAUUGGGUAUCUUUGUUUACCACUGAAAAUGAGUUUGAGUUAUAAUGGUGAUAGUGGGGUUGGUGCAUGAGUGUGAAACAUGUUGGUUAAUUACACCAAGUCUUGGACGUGUGUUCCUUGGCCUUCAUGCAACUCUUAAUGGAUAAAGAUGGAGGGUUCUUCUUGGAAGAAGUGUUUCAGUUCUACGGCCUUAGAUAGUUUUGGAGGCUUAAAUAGGAGCCCAGAGCCUCAUGAAAGAAACCCCUUUUCUGGUGAGGAGUCAAAGGAUUCUAGCUUCAAAAAUGAGAGAGACAGGGUUGUGUUUGCACAAGGUGAUAAACAUGAAAACCUUGGUGGUUUUCUUGGGGAUGAAGAAGUAGGGGUUGACCCUUUUGUUUAUGCUAUAGAAUGUGGUGAUAAUAGCUUGAGGCUAUGGUUAGACAAACCUGAACGAACAGUGAAUGUUUUAGAGUGCUUGCACAUUUUUAGGCAGAUAGUAGAGACUGUUCAUGUGGCUCAUUCUCAAGGACUUGUUUUUCAUAAUGUGCGGCCCUCCUGCUUUGCUAUGUCGUCUUUCAACCGUGUCUCAUUUAUUGAGUCAGCAUCUUGUUCACAUUUUGGAUCAGAUACCUCAGAAGAAGAUGGAUUAAACCACCAAGCUGUUGAUAUUAAAAUGCCAACACCUAUCCAUCUCAAUGAUGUGCAUCAUCAGAGAUGUUUAGGAAGUGAAGAUUCUGUACCUGUUGAGACUACUACAACAACUGCUUUGUCGGACUCUAGUUGUGUGAUUUCAAGUGCAGUGUUUGCAGCGCCUAAAUCAUUAAUAGAAGAGACAGAAGAAAAUAAAAUGAAAAAUAGGAGAAAGGCUGAGGAAGUUGUUGGAAAGAAGCAAUCAUUUCCAACGAAACAGGUACUGCUGAUGGAGGCAAGUUGGUAUACUAGUCCUGAAGAGGUAGCUGGUGCUCCAAGUUCCUGUGCUUCAGAUGUUUACCGAUUGGGAGUUCUCCUUUUUGAGCUAUUCUGUCCACUUAGCUCAAGUGAAGAAAAGAGCAGAACCAUGUCCAGCCUUAGACAUAGAGUUCUUCCUCCACAAUUACUUCUAAAGUGGCCUAAAGAAGCUUCAUUUUGCUUAUGGUUGCUACAUCCUGAGCCGAGUGGUCGUCCAACAUUGGGGGAGUUGUUGCAGUGUGAGUUUCUUAAUGAACCGAGAGAUGAUAUGGAAGAGCGUGAAGCUGCAGUAGAACUCAGAGAAAGGAUAGAUAAUGAGGAGUUGUUGCUAGAGUUCCUUUUGUUAAUUCAACAGAAAAAAGGGGAAGCUGCUGAGAAGUUGCAACAUACUAUCUCUUUUCUGCAUUCAGAUAUUGAAGAAGUGACUAAACAGCAAACUGUAUUUAAAGCGGUAACUGGCAUUGGACUAGGGAGUGAUGAUUGUGCAGCAUCAAGUUUCCCAUCCAUUACAGUUGUUGAUAAUGAGGAUUCUGCUUGUCUAAGAACCAGAAAACGGGUCAGACCAGAUCUGUGUGUUGACAGCACUGAGGGAUGCAAUAAUAACAUAUGCAAUGAUCAGAAAAAUCAUGGAAGUAUUCUUUCAAAAAAUCCACGACUUUUGAAGAACUUGACGAAGCUAGAGUCAGCAUACUGUUUUACACGAUGCAGAUCUGCCUAUUCCUUGGGGAAACUUGUGGCUACACAUUCACCUAUAGCUACUGAUGAUAGAGGGUCUGUUGUUGUGACUCCAAGGAGUUGUGUCAAUAAAGUAGUGUCAAAAGAGCAGUGUAGAGAGGGAAAAAGCCCUUGGAUAAAUCCUUUCCUUGAGGGUUUGUGCAAGUACUUAUCUUUCAGUAAGUUGAAGGUUAAGGGUGACCUGAAACAAGGAGAUCUUUUGCAGUCUUCCAGCCUGAUAUGCUCUCUCAGUUUUGAUCGUGAUGCAGAAUUUUUUGCAACUGCUGGUGUAAAUAAGAAAAUUAAAGUUUUUGAAUGUGACACAACCAUAAACGAGGACUGUGAUAUCCACUAUCCAGUAGUGGAGAUGGUUAGCCGGUCAAAGUUGAGCAGUAUAUGUUGGAAUACUUACAUCAAAAGUCAAAUUGCUUCAAGUAAUUUUGAAGGUGUUGUACAGUUAUGGGAUGUGACAAGAAGUCAAGUGCAGUCUGAAAUGAUGGAGCAUGAGCAGCGGGUAUGGUCCGUUGAUUUCUCAUCAGCUGAUCCAACAAUGUUGGCAAGUGGGAGUGAUGAUGGUUCUGUCAAGCUAUGGAGUAUCAAUCAGGCAAAUUCCAUUUUUGCAUUUGGUGGAUGUCAGCUUUGAAACUAAACGGAGUAAGUGUUGGCACCAUAAAAACGAAGGCAAAUGUGUGCUGUGUUCAGUUCCCCCUUGAUUUUGCUCGUUUCCUUGCAUUUGGCUCAGCAGAUCAUCGGAUAUAUUACUAUGAUCUUCGCAACCUGAAAAUGCCUCUCUGUACACUAGUUGGACAUAAUAAAACAGUGAGCUACAUCAAAUUCAUAGACACUGUGAACCUAGUCUCUGCAUCCACAGAUAACACUUUGAAGCUUUGGGAUUUGUCUCUGUGUUCAGCUCGUGUAAUAGACUCGCCAAUUCAAUCUUUCACUGGUCACUUAAAUGUUAAGAACUUUGUAGGGUUGUCUGUAUCUGAUGGUUACAUUGCUACCGGUUCAGAGACAAACGAGGUGUUCAUAUAUCACAAGGCUUUUCCCAUGCCAGCAUUAUCAUUCAAAUUUUACAGUUCUGGGAAUGAAGUGGAUGAUUCUUCACAGUUCAUCUCUUCUGUUUGUUGGCGCGGUCAAUCCUCCACCUUACUUGCUGCAAAUUCCACAGGCAAUGUCAAAAUUCUGGAGAUGACUUAAGUUGACCUUUAAUCUGUAAUAAAGACACAAACAUUUGUACAUUGAGGGAGGUGACAGAAACAUUGUUCAAGGUUCACUAUCUGUUGCUGGGAAAGGCUGUAGAGAACUCUAUACGAACUUGUAACUAGUUUUUGCAUUAGCUCAUGACGGAAGCAAUGAGAGAAAAAAGUGAGAUUGAUCUCUUCAAGAAUGUUCUGUAGAUAAAAUGCUAUAGAAAAGAAAGGUGAAAAGUAUAUUAGAUAUUCUAUUAGGUUGCUAAUCAUAUCCAGCCCCUCUGGUUCGAGAUUCCCUAGAUUGUUGAUCAUGUCCAAUCAGUGCCAAUAACUUGGUUAAAAAAUUCAUGUCUUGCGAUGACUUUGGCUGAAUGAGCCUAAAAUCUAAUGAUUCAAAUAUCUAUUGUUCGUAGGAAUAAGAAAAGAUCACGUAAAAAAUUGAUGGAUUUUGGAAUCUUGAUGCUGCAAAAUAUUGUGAAAACUCAUCUAAAUAGGAUUACAAAAGGGGUAAAGUAUAUUUCUUGCCCCAAAAAUUUAG
This is an RNA transcript of Abrus precatorius (Indian licorice), 3784 nucleotides long. It is a transcript of the gene named protein SPA1-RELATED 3-like, with no coding region annotated. The record is from RefSeq and is a predicted model, not a curated record. The transcript has 8 exons. Lineage: Eukaryota; Viridiplantae; Streptophyta; Magnoliopsida; Fabales; Fabaceae.